Molecule: transfer RNA, 91 nt
Filed under: Clostridiaceae bacterium
Lineage: Bacteria; Bacillati; Bacillota; Clostridia; Eubacteriales; Clostridiaceae
Description: tRNA-Ser
Rfam family: tRNA
About the family: Transfer RNA (tRNA) molecules are approximately 80 nucleotides in length. Their secondary structure includes four short double-helical elements and three loops (D, anti-codon, and T loops).
Source: RNAcentral
GGAGAGAUGGCCGAGCGGCUUAAGGCACUGGUCUUGAAAACCAGCGCGGUGUAAACCACCGCCGUGGGUUCAAAUCCCACUCUCUCCGCCA